Molecule: long non-coding RNA, 1563 nt
Organism: Gasterosteus aculeatus aculeatus (three-spined stickleback)
Lineage: Eukaryota; Metazoa; Chordata; Actinopteri; Perciformes; Gasterosteidae
Source: Ensembl
GCUUUAAAUGCAUCCCUGACAUAUUGAUUACUCUUACAGUGCAUUGGUAACGACACUAGUCAAUGAAAAAGUUUGUCUAUUUCUUACAAGUUUCAAAAGGAGCAUUUUAAUGCAUCUCAUAAGUUCCAUUUGCAUGUGAAUAAAUCACCCGUCUGUGAAAAGCGAGAAAGUGUGACAAAUAAUUACAAUACCUUUUGAGUUUGUCAGCAACAAAUUCUCCCAAAAAAUUAGCAACAGGAUCAGGAGAGCGUGUGUAUCCGCCAUGUCUGCCGCCCGGUGCCGAAUCCCGUAACAGUAUUUUUUAUGCAUAUGUGCGAAAGCACGGUGGUGUGCAUUGAAGUGUGUGAUUCCACUUUACACCCUUUCCAACACUAAUUAAAACGUGACUAAUUAUCGCGUUGGGUGAAACUUUAACCAGCCGCCUGCUGAACGCUUCAUCGCACAACACCUCUACUGAAAUAGUUUGCCAACACUAAACUCUGUCAAACUAAUGUUAUAGAAAUUAGUGCACAUCAAGAAAAAGACUUCAAGUUGAUAAGAAAUGAACAUAGUUAGGUUCAUCUAAAAAGAUGUGUUUAUCCUGUUAAUGUAAUAAAAAGACAGGUUUUGGUAUCUGGACAAAGUGCAAACAACCUUUCAGUAAAAACCUACAGAAAUCUAGUUUACAUAAAUGACACCGUUACCUAAUGAACUUGCUAAAGUUUGAACGUUUCUGUAGCGACACGAGGCGUGAUGGAUGGUUGAAGGCAAUUCAAUAUUUUAAGUUCACCAAACAACGUCACCCUGGGAAUUUCAGCCAGGGAAUUGUUUUAAAUCUUCCAAACAAAACUAAGGGGAGGCACUCAGGUUCGUCGCAAAUGAGACUUAAUUUAAAACACAAUGUAAUUUUAUUAAAUUAACGGUGUAAAAACCUCUUCACUCUGGAACAAGCAACGGGGGAACCAAUCAGGGCAGAGACUUGAUGGACGGUGAAACUAAGUGAAGCAACUCAAACAUGCUAAACAUAACGGACACCACCACCUGGGACACCAAUCCGCCACCGCAGACUCAGCACCUGAAGGGAGGGGGGGGGGCGGGGGGGAGAAGACGAGAGCAACAGGUUUCAAAUAAAAAACUAAACCAAAACUGAAAAAAUAAUUACAUUUAACCAAAAAUACGAAUAAAACACCGACAAACUGCUUAAACAAAAUCACAAAAUAAAGAAAACUACAAAUAAAAGGAUCCAAACAAAUGAGUAAGGCCGGUCUCCCGUACAGUUAAAAUGUGUCUUGACCCAGUUAGGAGGCCAAAACAGGUUAAAUACAGCUAAAAGCAGGGCAGACCCAAACGGGGUUACUUUAACCAACAAAGAAAAGCAGUUUAGCCAAAAGGCAAAGAAAGUUACUUUAACCAAGACAAGCAACUUGGCCAAAAGGCAAAGCAAAUCAAACCCGAACAGGGUUAGUUUAACACGGUAAAGCAAAGCCGUUUGGCCAAAAGGCAAAGCAGCAGUGGUCUCUGGCAGGUUAGCGGGUGCAGAGCUGAUGCUCAAGGAUCCUUUGCCCUGCAGAGGAAAACAGACAU